RNAcentral lists this ribosomal RNA (254 nucleotides) under uncultured bacterium. RNAcentral describes it as "partial 16S ribosomal RNA". It matches the Rfam family "Bacterial small subunit ribosomal RNA", at positions 524 to 777 of the family's 1533-position model. The record is from RNAcentral.
UACGUAGGUGGCAAGCGUUGUCCGGAAUUAUUGGGCGUAAAGCGCGCGCAGGCGGUCUUUUAAGUCUGAUGUGAAAGCCCACGGCUCAACCGUGGAGGGUCAUUGGAAACUGGGAGACUUGAGUGCAGAAGAGAAGAGUGGAAUUCCACGUGUAGCGGUGAAAUGCGUAGAGAUGUGGAGGAACACCAGUGGCGAAGGCGACUCUUUGGUCUGUAACUGACGCUGAGGCGCGAAAGCGUGGGGAGCAAACAGGG